UUUUUUUCCCUCUUUUGCAAUCUGAGCUGCCUUUAAAAACUCAGGGCAAAGAAGAUGCCAAGAGUGAGAAGUAGCGCGGCCGAGAAGGAAAAAAAAAAAAUCAAUUCAAAGAAACAAAGAAUAGCGAGACGCAUUAAAUGGCCUGUGGGCACCAAAAAAGCUCCCACCUUAUCGCACAGUCACGUGCAGCAACAUCAUAACGUUCGAUCCAAAGGAGAAACAGAGCAUUGGUGGAGCUUGGAGGCUCGUUUUCUUGUACAAGUGACCAUAGAAAUAACGCUUUGUGUAUAUCGCCUUGUUUCCUUGCUCGUAAUCCUCCCAAAAAGCCUGUUUGACUAGAGUGUGCCUUUGUAAACGUGCUACCUGUCUCACGUCUGCGAGCGGAGGCUGAUCCUCCAUCACAUAAACGGCAGGGAAACGAGUGAGCCAAAUCAGCCUUAUAAAGUGAAAGAUAUGAAAACUGGCAUUUAUAUACUAGUUCCUGCCUUGCUCACGAAGCUGUCUAAAUCGGCUCCAGUCCUGGUAACCUUGGAUAAACUCUAAAGAUGACUGAAGAAUGGAUGACUGCAUAAAUUACUUUGUGUAUAAAUACGAGGCACUGAAGCCCCAAAUGUUUAAAUUGUAUGGACUGGAGGAAAUCUGGGACAGGGUUUUAAGAAGAAGCCCUGUGGAUGGAAUUUUUUCAGCAGCAGAUUUAUUCACUACGAACCUAUGGUGUGUUCUCAUUCUACAAUCACAUCUGGACCUACAAGACUAUGUUACUAGUAAAUGAAAAGUCAAUAAACAGUAAUGUAA
This is a long non-coding RNA of Polypterus senegalus (gray bichir), 795 nucleotides long. RefSeq lists it as uncharacterized. The record is from RefSeq and is a predicted model, not a curated record. NCBI's taxonomy places the organism in Eukaryota, Metazoa, Chordata, Cladistia, Polypteriformes, Polypteridae. The transcript is spliced from 3 exons.